Molecule: non-coding RNA, 68 nt
Organism: Rattus norvegicus (Norway rat)
Lineage: Eukaryota; Metazoa; Chordata; Mammalia; Rodentia; Muridae
Source: Rfam
GGGGAUUUGGCUCAGUGGUAGAGCACUUGCCUAGCAAGCACAAGGCCCUGGGUUCGGUCCCCAGCUCA